CGAGGCGGGAGGGGUCCUGGCCGCGGGCGAUGCGGCCGGACAUGAUGCGGAACUUCUUGCGGAGGCGGCGGAGCUUCUCGGAGAGCUGGGACCGGUUGUAGGGCUGGGGCAUCGACUCCGAGAAGCGAUCGUAGAAAAGAUUCAGGUCGCGGGGGAAGACCAUGCCCUGGGACCAGCAGCCGAGGAGGCCCUGUAGGAAGCGGAUCUCGUCGGACUCGGACCAAAUCCGGUGGAACUUGAAGGGAGGGGAGCGCAGAUCGCCGGCUGCCGCAGCGCCCCCGGGCCGCCUUCGACGCCGGCCGCGGAGGAGGCCGGUCCGUAUUCGGAUUCAUCGUCGUCUUCGGCGUCAUCGUCGUCGUCGUCGUCGUAGUCGUAGCCGUUGUCGGAGGGGAGGGCGGGGAGGGGGCAUCGGGUUCGAGCUUGGGGGCGAGGGGGACGGAGUCGUGGGUGGGGUUGGGGUCAGAAGAGGGCUUUCGCUUGAUGGGGAGUUUGCGAGCGGCCGACUUGAUGUGGAGGGUUGGGGUCGGGGUGGCCAUGGCGCGCCUGCUUGCGCGCAGGAGAUGGGAUGGAUUUGGGGCGAGGGUUGGGGGAGUAGGGGUGGGGUGAGGCAGGAUAGCGGGGGAGUGAGAUUGGAUUUGGAUCCGAUGCAGGGGCGACGGAUGGGGCACGGGGGUUGGGGCGGCGGCGCUUGUUGCCUCCGCUGCCGGGGGCGGCGGCAUCGGGAGCGGAGAAGGGAGAGGAGGAGGCGUAGGAAGGGUGCCAGAGGCGGGUGCAGAGGUGGAGGAGGUCGCGGUCAUGCGGNNNNNNNNNNNNNNNNNNNNNNNNNNNNNNNNNNNNNNNNNNNNNNNNACGGAACUUCUUGCGGAGACGGCGGAGCUUCUCGGAGAGCUGGGAUCGGGUGUACGGCUGGGGCAUCGACUCCGAGAAACGAUCAUAGAAAAGAUUCAGGUCGCGAGGGAAGACCAUGCCCUGGGACCAGCAACCGAGGAGGCCCUGAAGGAAGCGGAUCUCGUCGGACUCGGACCAAAUCCGGUG
This 1035-nucleotide long non-coding RNA is filed under the name Phoenix dactylifera (date palm). RNAcentral describes it as "long non-coding RNA (PDAC_LNC000066)". The record is from RNAcentral. Lineage: Eukaryota; Viridiplantae; Streptophyta; Magnoliopsida; Arecales; Arecaceae.